AUUGAACGCUGGCGGCAGGCCUAACACAUGCAAGUCGAGCGGAUGAAGGGAGCUUGCUCCUGGAUUCAGCGGCGGACGGGUGAGUAAUGCCUAGGAAUCUGCCUGGUAGUGGGGGAUAACGUCCGGAAACGGGCGCUAAUACCGCAUACGUCCUGAGGGAGAAAGUGGGGGAUCUUCGGACCUCACGCUAUCAGAUGAGCCUAGGUCGGAUUAGCUAGUUGGUGGGGUAAAGGCCUACCAAGGCGACGAUCCGUAACUGGUCUGAGAGGAUGAUCAGUCACACUGGAACUUAGACACGGUCCAGACUCCUACGGGAGGCAGCAGUUGGGAAUAUUGGACCAUGGGCGAAAGCCUGAUCCAGCCAUGCCGCGUGUGGGAAGAAGGUCUUCGGAUUGUAAAGCACUUUAAGUUGGGAGGAAGGGCAGUAAGUUAAUACCUUGCUGUUUUGACGUUACCAACAGAAUAAGCACCGGCUAACUUCGUG
Molecule: ribosomal RNA, 484 nt
Filed under: uncultured bacterium
Lineage: Bacteria
Description: partial 16S ribosomal RNA
Rfam family: Bacterial small subunit ribosomal RNA
Source: RNAcentral